CUAUUAACACAAGUUUGAUACAGGGGAACUUUCAUGAUUAUCAAACAGAUUAAAAACUUAAGGGAACACUCAUAUUAUGAUGUUUGGUAUCAAGAUGUGGUUGCACGGAGGGUGAUCACCAAGCGAACAUCCCAAGUGGCAGGUUUCAUGAAGGCCAGUGAAAAGCAAACACUUUGAGAUGACAUCUUGGAGAAUGAUAAAUGGAGAGGUCUAACCUUUGAAACCAAGAGCAAGAAACAAAGUUUAAUGUGAGGGCAAGGGACAAUAUGUCGGCAUAAAGAAAUGGAGUAAAAUAUAAACUGUAGCUAUAGAAUAAGUUUUGAAACCAUAAGUUAGAAAUCUCAGCUGUCAACUGCGCAAUGCAAUGACUUGGCAACUUAAUAACAAACAAAAGGAGAAUGUAGGGAUGCAUUUAAGACUUUGAGCCAAGCGAUAGUUCAUGACUGCAUCUAAAGAUAAAAGCAAGAGAUUCCGAUCAAAGGCAAGAGCAUAAUUUAGCCAAAGGGUAAGUAGGGAAGGUCUUGAAGCAAAGAAGGCAAGAUCAGCACAAAGUAUGCACAUAAGUGCGUGAAGAUGAUUGCUGAUUCAUGCAAAUGGCUUAUGUUCGUCAAGGCACAGAACACCAACAUUAAAAGAUUUGACUUCAUAAUACUACUAUUGAUUUUGAAGCACUCUUGCCAACAACAUCAUGCACCCAUCACCACCUUAGGUUGUUAGAGUAGGUUAAGAAAAGUGAUACACCCUUUAAUUAUAACCAAGCUAGUUCAAGCAAUUCUUGAAGAAGAAUUGCUAGAACAUAGCCACAAUUCCAAAAUUCCAAAAUAAUCUGGCUAGGGAAGUUACAAAGUUCAGAUUAAAUGCAAAUAGCUUAACAGAAUAUUACAAAGAAUUUGAAUAACUUAAAAUUAGAAAAAUGAAGAAAAUACCACAAAUAUAAUUUAAACUGGCCAAGCAAAAAUAUGAUAAACACAACAAGAAUAAACAAAAAGAACACCAACUCCAAAAUGAGAAUUUUAUGAACAAGUUGCAGACAAUUCAUAAAUUACUCAAAGUUCUUGAACAAGCAAACAAUUCAUGGAUUUUCAUAUUAGAGAACAGUUUAAAGAAUCACUCUACUAACCAAAAAAUUGUGAAUAAUUCAAAGAUUCUUCAGGAUUCUAGAAAUAAGGUUGUUAUGCAUGUGCAUUCAAGUACUAGCAUGCCUCAUUUUCUAUCAUAAAUAAGUUCAUUUUAUGCCUAACAACAAAAGUGGUUAAGAUCAUGAACUCAAGUUCAAAGCCAGGAAAAUGAUCAGUCAGUCAUGCACAUCAUGUAAACUGCUAUAUGACAUGUCUCAACUUUAUCCUUUUCUAGUGCAACAGACACUUCAACAUGAUGGGUCAAGCAACUUAGUUUCAUGCCAAUAAGGUCCCUCCAAUUGUCUUGAAGAUCUGCACAAUUACCCA
RNAcentral lists this long non-coding RNA (1445 nucleotides) under Phoenix dactylifera (date palm). Its description in RNAcentral is "long non-coding RNA (PDAC_LNC004248)". Lineage: Eukaryota; Viridiplantae; Streptophyta; Magnoliopsida; Arecales; Arecaceae. The record is from RNAcentral.